AGUGCCGCUGUCCAACCAGUGCAAGUCCUCGACGACAAUCAGCAGGGGGCGUUCGUCGGAAUCACUACGGAUUAGGCGCCGUAUCAGGGACAUGAGCCGGUCGCGCCUGGCGCCCGGGUCAGUCACUAGGUGCUGACUUGCGGCAUCUGGGACCCCGAGAAAGUCCCAAAGUAGUGGCAGUUCUGAACGCAGUUUCGAAUCAAGGGCCAAGACUCGUGUCGCCACCUUCUCCCUGCUGCGUUCAGCCGAUUCGUCUGGCAUUACGUCGAACACAUCGCGCA
RNAcentral lists this unclassified non-coding RNA (281 nucleotides) under uncultured fungus. Its description in RNAcentral is "sequence contains ITS1". Lineage: Eukaryota; Fungi. The record is from RNAcentral.